CCCUCGAGAAGGACCUCGUGCGCCGUCCCAAGUCCUGUGUAACUGCGUUGCGUCGGAGGAGACUGAGCCCAGAAGGCAGAAGGGACUUGGCCAAGAUUGCGCAAUGGGUUUGCGGUCCAGACUCCAAGUCCCCACCCCCCCACUCCCUCGGCCUUGCUGAGCUGGGCGGUGUCUCCAACACCCCACGCCAUUCUCCACCCGCUGGGGGAGCGAGGCCCCAAAGAGAUGCACCAACAAGGCGUAAGAAGGGCGUUCUCCACGACCUCACCAGAGCAGGUGGAUUUCCGCUAAGCAGGGCACACAGUGCUGUUUCUGAGAGAGGAAUAAGGAGCCUCUUGGAGGUGGUUAAGCCUGGGCACCCGGCAGGGUCGUGAAAUUCUGGAUCUGCUCUGUGUCCAGGUCAAGUUGAGACUGCUGGCUGUUGGCCUCUAGAGCUCAGGAGGGGGCCUGAGCAGCAGACAGAGACCUGGACGUCGUGAGAUUGGGGACACCUGGGGAAGAUGAGCACGGGGAGAAGAGGCCCCAGACACUCUGACCCUGAGGUCGGGGGUUACGGAGGAACCAGAAAAGAGAAGUAGGAAGGAGUGGUCAGUGCGGCGGGACCCACGCCGUGUCCUGAAGAGGACGGAGAGGACGGUCACGUGAGGCCGGGAUUAGGUCGUGGGAGCACUAAGAACGGACCCCUGGAUGAAGCUGCCUGGGGGCCAUCAGUGACCUUGAUGAGAGCUAUUAGAACUGAGUGCUGGGGCCCAGACGGAGGGCAGCGGAGGAGCGGGGGACAGAGAGUGUAGACAACCUUUCCAGAGAGACCUGCUCGAAAGCUGAUGGCCUAAAUUGCAUCCUCCGUGUUCAUAAACUGAAGCCCCAGGGACCUAUAGUUGGCGAUCCUCCAUCAGAGGAGGAAACGGGACACACACAUAGUCUUAGCAGCAAAUGCACCGAGCGGGAAAGGUGGCCGUCCACCCGCCCUAGAUAUGGACCUUCGGAGACCCCAGCCCUGGCCUCACGUUCCUCGGGGACGUCCAGCCUCCCGGACUGAGACAGGAUGACCCCGGGUUACGGCGCCCCAGGAGUGAUGGAGGUUUACAUGCGGGGCUUUGAAAAGCACCUGAGAAUCGGGGCCUGAAGCCUGGGAUGGCUGAGUGAGGUAUCUCUACUACUCAGCUGAACAUGUCGCCCUGAACCAACUAUACUUGAAUCCCUUAAAAAAAGAAAAGAAAAGAAAAAAGAAAAGAAAAGGCCAUUUCUUCUUAGAAACCUUCAGUGAAUCCCGUAAUCCUUACUCAGAGGCCAGGAAGGAAGUACUAAUGUCGAGAGAGACACAGCAAGAGAAGGAACACAAGCAGGGGCAGAGGGAGAGGGAGAAGCAGGCUUCCCGCCGAGCAGGGAGCCGGAAGCGGAGCUCGAUCCCAGGACCCCGGGAUCAUGACCCGAGCCGAAGGCAGACGCUUAAUGACUGAGACACCCAGGCGUCCUGGAGAAAAGCAUUUUUAAGGGGCAUCCUGGAAAGCUGUCUUUCCCUUUUCUCUCUGUUCCUGUAUUUAAAUUGAUGCAAAUAUUUUCUAGGCCGAUGGGAUACUGAAGAACGUCAAACAAUCGCCUGGAGGACAGCGCUUGGGGACAAGGAAGCCGUUAGCGAUACUCGCAAAGGUGGUCAUUUGUCACAAUUCGUGUUUUCUCAUUUGAUGUUUGAUAUAACCGACAAUCCUGAGAAUAAUCCGUAGGAAUAUCCGGGUUUCGCCAGGGAGAAAUGACUCCCAGAAGCUGACGUGACGGCCCAUCCAAGGUCACAGGCAGAGCACGGAGGACACGUCACGCCCUGUCCCCAUCACCAGGGCGCCCGGCCUCCAAGGCUGAGCGGGGAGUGGAAGGCAGCCUUAAAACGGACUCGAGCGGCUCCGCGGAUCUUCCAACGUUCCUCUUCAUUGCCAUCAUCUGAACAUCAGGACCCGAGCUCGUCUUCCCGGUGAGGUGCCGCAAGGGGCCGCCUUCCCCCUUCACCGCCCCUCCCCCCACCCCGCCCCUCCCCUCUGCCCCCAGCGCACCAGACACACAGGCCUUCAGUCCUGGGAAGCAAGUCAUCUCUCCAAAGGAUGGAGAAACACUAGUAGGAAAGUGAAAGAAGAGGCCAGGAUGUUGUCCUGCCAGUGCUGUCUCAGCCUGGAACCUUCUACCCAUCAUGCCCUCUGAGCGUGCUCACCUACCAUGCCGCAGCCUUACUGCCCACCGUCCUCCCUCCCCAAUUCUGUUCCAUCUUGUUUUGAGUCUCAGUACGCUCAGCACGAACUACUUAGGGCAAGGACAUCUGGGUCUCACUUCCCUUCGGUGUGUCCCCCUCGACACCCAGGGCAGCACCCCCCUCGACAGUGCCCACUGCCUGAUUCAAACAAGGGCCGUGACAUUUCGAUGAACAGUUAGGUAGGUCCACAAGUCAUCUGAAGAGAUCUCACCAAGAAUGAAUGGAUAAAACAAAGCCAAGAGGGUUGGCACCAUGGAAUACAGCUCAGCCUUAGAGAGGAAGGCGAUUCAGAUGCAGGAACCGCCUUAUGGGAGGUCCCUGGAGGAAUCAGGCUCACAGAGACAGAAAGCAGCAGGAUGGAUGCCGGGAACUGGGGGGAGGGUGGGGGGGUUAGUGUUGAAUGGGGACAGAGCCUCAGAGUGGGAAAAUGAGAAAGUUCUGGACACAGCAACAGCAGUGGAGAAGGUAAAAUUCACAUUACGUGUAUUUUACCACCAUUAAGAAAAACAUCCCAUCAAGGAUCAUUCGUGCGCUGACUCAAGACCAGACUGGCGGGGCCAGACGCCUUCCUUUUUGAUGCCAGUGCUGAAAUAAGCUUUGUUGCUGGAGUGUGUCGAGGCUCGGUGCCAGGCUCCCUCUGGCCUCAGAGCACCGCUGGUCCACGGUGGGACCAGCAUUUCUUUAUGGCUUCCUUGGGGGUGGACAGAAGGGAUGAAUCCGUGGCCCCCAAGACUACCAGGGAACAUUGCACACACGGUAGGCACUCAGUAAUUGUCAAGGGACUGACCAACAUGUUUUCCCUUUCUAGAAGGUUGAUAACCUUGUAGGUUCGAGAGAGUUGUAAAUGUCAGGGCAAAUUUUUGGAAUUGCAAAUCAAAGGCUCUCGGGGCGGUCUAGGCACAGACGUCAGUUUGGUCCAAGUCCAGGUGUAAGCAAAUGGCCCUCCGCUGACCCACUCCUGGGCUGGUGGUGCUGGGAGGCUCCCAGCUUAGACAAACCUCUCCGUUCCUGCAGGGCAAGUGCAGCUGGGAAGGCUGUUUCCCUACAGCCUCCUAGUCUCCCUGUGGCCCCUCCAACUUUGUUCUGAGCUAUGAAGCCACCGAGAACUCACCUUCUCUCCCCAUGCCCCAGGGUGCAGGAGAGCUUAGGGGAGGGGGGCCUUCCUGCCUAACCCUGUGCUGGGCUGGUCCUCCAUCCAGGGAAGGGAACUGCAGGCUGCGGUCACCAGGACCUCCUCCUGGCUUUGCUGGGAACUGGAGCCCCUCCUGUCCCCUCUCCAUGGGAGAGGCGGUCCUUCCCCCUCUGCACCCAGGGGCCCCACCUUCUCGGGAGCCUCUUGAGUCAGGCCUCGCUGUGGUACGGAAACUUCCUGUCCUUUCAGAUGUUAGAAAAGGUUCUUUUCCUCUCUGUGGGGCAGGUGCACCAAGGGGCGCCCUGCCAGGCCACUGCCAGGGACCGCUCUGGGGACCUGCUUCCCCGGACCCACGUCCAGGUUCACCCCUUUCUUCUGAGAGGGGUGUGGGGACUCUGCCAGGUGGAGACACAGGGAGACUGACCCGUCCCAGAGAGCACCGGAGGAGACACAGGGAGGUGGAAAGUGGGACUAAUCAGGACUGGAAGGAGAGGUUUGGGGUAGCCGUGGGGGGCGGGGAUACCACAUGGAGAGUGAGGUAGAGAAAGGGAGGGGGAGAGAGAUAGAUGGGGGUCCAGCUCCGCAGGGCGAGGAGGGCAAGUCGUCCUAGACCUCUCAGGUCGCUCCCACCCCGGGUGUGCUCUCCCCGGGUGCGCCCCCACAGCGACCGCACCCCAUCGCCAGCACCGCCCGUGGCCCACCCCCCAUCUUCCCGCCGCACCCCUCCUGAGCCCGGAUGCAUUGUGGCCCCCCCCACGCCGUCCCACCCCCGCGUGUCCUCUCCCCCAGCACACCCCCCCACACCCCGACGGUGCCCCCCGCGGCGGAGGCAUCCCCACGCUGCGCCCCCUAGUCGCGCCCCAUGCCCCCCACCCCCGCGUCCGCCCUGCCUACCUGGGGC
Mustela lutreola (European mink) is the source of this 4272-nucleotide long non-coding RNA. RefSeq lists it as uncharacterized. NCBI's taxonomy places the organism in Eukaryota, Metazoa, Chordata, Mammalia, Carnivora, Mustelidae. The transcript has 3 exons. The record is from RefSeq and is a predicted model, not a curated record.